UAAUACGGAGGAUCCUAGCGUUAUCCGGAAUUAUUGGGUUUAAAGGGUCCGUAGGCGGCUUGAUAAGUCAGCGGUGAAAGUUUUUGGCUUAACCAAAAAAUUGCCGUUGAUACUGUUUAGCUUGAAUGAUUGUGAAGUAACUAGAAUAUGUAGUGUAGCGGUGAAAUGCUUAGAUAUUACAUGGAAUACCAAUUGCGCAGGCAGGUUACUAACAAUUUAUUGACGCUGAUGGACGAAAGCGUGGGUAGCGAACGGG
RNAcentral lists this ribosomal RNA (256 nucleotides) under uncultured archaeon. RNAcentral's name for it is "partial 16S ribosomal RNA". It matches the Rfam family "Bacterial small subunit ribosomal RNA", at positions 521 to 776 of the family's 1533-position model. The record is from RNAcentral.